This is a long non-coding RNA of Micropterus salmoides (largemouth bass), 493 nucleotides long. RefSeq lists it as uncharacterized. The transcript is spliced from 3 exons. Lineage: Eukaryota; Metazoa; Chordata; Actinopteri; Centrarchiformes; Centrarchidae. The record is from RefSeq and is a predicted model, not a curated record.
GUUGUGAGGUGGAAAAGGAACCGUCAUCCUCCAGCUGUUAAUAUUAGUGAUGGAAAUAUUUUAGGUUGUUCUAAAAGGAGUCGGCACCUCAAGUUCAUAGCCUGCAAGUUCUGCAGCCAGGCGGUGUCUCAUCCACCUCCUGAUGCUGUGCCUGGUUCUCAGCAACAUUGUGGUUGUGAGGUGGAAAAGGAACCGUCAUCCUCCAGCUGUUAAUAUUAGUGAUGGAAAUAUUGUUAGGUUGUUCUAAAAGGAGUCGGCACCUCAAGUUCAUAGCCUGCAAGUUCUGCGGCCAGGCGGUGUCUCAUCCACCUCCUGAUGCUGUGCCUGGUUCUCAGCAACAUUGUGGUUGUGAGGUGGAAAAGGAACCGUCAUCAUUAACAUUAACACAGCACCUGCUAAUGAUAAUGCAGAUGCCUUCACACACACACACACACACACACAAACUUACAAAAAAAACCAUGACAAGGUUAAUAAAAGUUUUUUCAAUGUCAAA